Molecule: ribosomal RNA, 419 nt
Filed under: Bacillota bacterium
Lineage: Bacteria; Bacillati; Bacillota
Also listed under: 2 other names
Description: Firmicutes bacterium partial 16S ribosomal RNA
Rfam family: Bacterial small subunit ribosomal RNA
Source: RNAcentral
UAAGGAAUAUUGCGCAAUGGGCGACAGCCUGACGCAGCGACGCCGCGUGGGGGAUGAAGGUCUUCGGAUUGUAAACCCCUUUCGGCAGGGAAGAUGGAACGGGUAACCGUUCGGACGGUACCUGCAGAAGCAGCCACGGCUAACUUCGUGCCAGCAGCCGCGGUAAUACGAAGGUGGCAAGCGUUGUUCGGAUUUACUGGGCGUACAGGGAGCGUAGGCGGUUGGGUAAGCCCUCCGUGAAAUCUCCGGGCCUAACCCGGAAAGUGCGGAGGGGACUGCUCGGCUAGAGGAUGGGAGAGGAGCGCGGAAUUCCCGGUGUAGCGGUGAAAUGCGUAGAGAUCGGGAGGAAGGCCGGUGGCGAAGGCGGCGCUCUGGAACAUUUCUGACGCUGAGGCUCGAAAGCGUGGGGAGCAAACAGG